This 74-nucleotide transfer RNA is filed under the name Rhodospirillaceae bacterium. RNAcentral describes it as "tRNA-Gln". It matches the Rfam family "tRNA". From Rfam's summary of the family: Transfer RNA (tRNA) molecules are approximately 80 nucleotides in length. Their secondary structure includes four short double-helical elements and three loops (D, anti-codon, and T loops). RNAcentral also lists the same sequence under 4 other names. Lineage: Bacteria; Pseudomonadati; Pseudomonadota; Alphaproteobacteria; Rhodospirillales; Rhodospirillaceae. The record is from RNAcentral.
UGGGGGAUAGUUUAACGGUAAAACUCGCGGCUCUGACCCGCGCAUUCCCGGUUCAAAUCCGGGUCCCCCAGCCA